GGUGCCGAGUGGUAAAGCAAGGAGUUAUGGCGUUGCGAACUUUGUCGCACAACGCCAAACAAAAAGCCAACACAUGCAAGGGGAAAGAACAUUAAGUGCUGAGUGCAAAACUAGUGGCGGACGGGUGAGUAACGCGUGGGCAACCUACCCAUAAGAGGGGGAUAACAGCUGGAAACGGCUGCUAAUACCGCAUAAGCUUAGCUGGACGCAUGUUUGGUUAAGUAAAGGAGGCUUAGGCUUCCGCUUAUGGAUGGGCCCGCGUCUGAUUAGCUAGUUGGUAGGGUAACGGCCUACCAAGGCGACGAUCAGUAGCCGGCCUGAGAGGGUGUACGGCCACACUGGGACUGAGACACGGCCCAGACUCCUACGGGAGGCAGCAGUGGGGAAUAUUGCGCAAUGGGGGAAACCCUGACGCAGCGACGCCGCGUGAGCGAAGAAGGCCUUCGGGUUGUAAAGCUCUGUUGUAAGGGACGAAGGAUUGGGGUAGUAACUGACCCCAAGGUGACGGUACCUUACGAGGAAGCCCCGGCUAACUACGUG
Molecule: ribosomal RNA, 540 nt
Filed under: uncultured bacterium
Lineage: Bacteria
Description: bacterial SSU rRNA
Rfam family: Bacterial small subunit ribosomal RNA
Source: RNAcentral